UUACUCAUUUGCACCCAAAAAAAAAAAAAAAUUUGAGGCAUAGACGACCCACCAACUACUUCCUCUCCUUGAUUUUCUUCCCCCCACCAACUUCCCCCCAGUCCUCCAUGACACUCUCCAUUUUCCUACGUUCCAGCUCUCAUCUCAGAAUUUGAAUUAUUAGAGCUCAGCUAUGGAGGCCAAACUUUUUCAAAGCAUUCAACCUUGCAAAUGGGUGGAUACCGAAAAUUUGAUGAGAAAACCCGGCGCAUUUAUCCGGGUUUCUCAUAAAACUAUGGAUAAUUCCAGGGUCCGGUCAAUGUUCAUGAAUGUACAAUCAAGUAAGAGAGUUUCAGCUCAUCAAAAUCGGUUUAGUCGGAAGGUUUUGAGUUCCUUAAAGAACCCUCCAGGUUCGGUGUUGUUGGAGUCUGGUGGCUUUCCCGCUUCUCUAGACGAGUCCUUGGUUUUGAAGAAUAAGUCAGCAGAGAUAGACAGUGUUCUGAACGGACGCUGCAUUUACCUUGUUGGAAUGAUGGGAUCUGGGAAAACAACUAUUGGCAGGGUUGUGUCUGAAGCACUUAGUUAUUCGUUUUCUGAUAGUGACUUAUUGGUGGAGCAGAAAGCGGGGGGAAUGUCUGUUGCAGAAAUAUUCAAGCAACACGGGGAGGGCUUCUUUAGAGACAAAGAGACUGAGGUGUUAAAGGAGCUAUCUAUGAUGCAUCGAUUUGUUGUUUCCACUGGUGGAGGGGCUGUUAUAAGGCCCAUCAAUUGGAAACAUAUGCGAAGUGGUAUUAGUGUUUGGUUAGAUGUGCCAGUGGAGUGCUUAGCACGGAGGAUUUCGGCAGUUGGAACCGGCUCUCGUCCUCUGUUGCAUGGUGAAUCAGGAGAUGCAUACUCUAAGGCUUUGACACGUUUGUCCACCCUACUAGAAGAGAGAGGUGAAGCAUACGCUAAUGCUAACACCCGGGUUUCUUUUGAACAUAUCGCAUCAAAACUAGGGCAUGUAAAUGUAGAUAAUCUUAGUCCAGCUGCUAUUGCAAUUGAGGUGCUUGUACAAAUUGAGAGCUUCCUUAAAGGAUGAUGGCUUUUACGUAAAACCUGCAUACAAUGGAUUAUAGGAUAAAUCGAAGGUGUUGUCAUAUAUUUUUGGCUGGAAAACAAGCUGAGGGAGUGGGCCAAUGAGCUGAUUGUUAGACAAGUGCAAAUUAUUGUGCUUCAGAUUGCCAAAAGUUGAAGACAUUUGGCCUACAAACUGGUUAUUUGAGAACAAGACAUCAUACAAUGCAGUUAGAUGCCCCAUAGUCGGUGGCAACAAGACAUCAUACAACUUUCCUGUAAUCACAUCUCGAUUCAGAAUAUUUCUGAUUCUAAAAGGCCGUAGCACAAGGUAAAUGCUGGCUGGGAAGUUGGAGGCGGCCAAAUUGUGGCAAUUCAGGGGCAAAUUGCGUACAUCACUUUUAUGGUGCACCGUGCACCUACUAGUCCAUUAGCCAACUUUAUUUUUGGCUAAUUUUACCCAACUCUUUAUCUUUCAAUGCUUUGUAAAGUAUUAAUGCGAUUGUAUCAAGUAAAGUAUUACUAAUAAUUUGUAUCAAGAAAAGUAUAAAUAAUUUAAUGCUAUUAUAGA
Molecule: RNA transcript, 1606 nt
Organism: Spinacia oleracea (spinach)
Lineage: Eukaryota; Viridiplantae; Streptophyta; Magnoliopsida; Caryophyllales; Amaranthaceae
Gene name: shikimate kinase, chloroplastic
Exons: 13
Source: RefSeq, a predicted model, not a curated record